GACGAACGCUGGCGGCGUGCUUAACACAUGCAAGUCGAACGGAAAGGCCCUGCUUUUGUGGGGUGCUCGAGUGGCGAACGGGUGAGUAACACGUGAGUAACCUGCCCUUGACUUUGGGAUAACUUCAGGAAACUGGGGCUAAUACCGGAUAGGAGCUCCUGCUGCAUGGUGGGGGUUGGAAAGUUUCGGCGGUUGGGGAUGGACUCGCGGCUUAUCAGCUUGUUGGUGGGGUAGUGGCUUACCAAGGCUUUGACGGGUAGCCGGCCUGGGAGGGUGACCGGCGACAUUGGGACUGAGGUACGGCCCAGACUCCUACGGGAGGCAGCAGUGGGGAAUAUUGCACAAUGGGCGGAAGCCUGAUGCAGCAACGCCGCGUGCGGGAUGACGGCCUUCGGGUUGUAAACCGCUUUCGCCUGUGACGAAGCGUGAGUGACGGUAAUAGGUAAAGAAGCACCGGCUAACUACGUG
This 468-nucleotide ribosomal RNA is filed under the name uncultured bacterium. RNAcentral's name for it is "partial 16S ribosomal RNA". It matches the Rfam family "Bacterial small subunit ribosomal RNA", at positions 28 to 507 of the family's 1533-position model. The record is from RNAcentral.